UAGGGAAUCUUCCACAAUGGACGCAAGUCUGAUGGAGCAACGCCGCGCGAGUGAAGAAGGGUUUCGGCUCGUAAAGCUCUGUUGGUAGUGAAGAAAGAUAGAGGUAGUAACUGGCCUUUAUUUGACGGUAAUUACUUAGAAAGUCACGGCUAACUACGUGCCAGCAGCCGCGGUAAUACGUAGGUGGCAAGCGUUGUCCGGAUUUAUUGGGCGUAAAGCGAGUGCAGGCGGUUCAAUAAGUCUGAUGUGAAAGCCUUCGGCUCAACCGGAGAAUUGCAUCAGAAACUGUUGAACUUGAGUGCAGAAGAGGAGAGUGGAACUCCAUGUGUAGCGGUGGAAUGCGUAGAUAUAUGGAAGAACACCAGUGGCGAAGGCGGCUCUCUGGUCUGCAACUGACGCUGAGGCUCGAAAGCAUGGGUAGCGAACAGGAUUAGAUACCCUGGUAGUCCAUGCCGUAAACGAUGAGUGCUAAGUGUUGGGAGGUUUCCGCCUCUCAGUGCUGCAGCUAACGCAUUAAGCACUCCGCCUGGGGAGUACGACCGCAAGGUUG
RNAcentral lists this ribosomal RNA (550 nucleotides) under uncultured bacterium. RNAcentral's name for it is "bacterial SSU rRNA". It matches the Rfam family "Bacterial small subunit ribosomal RNA", at positions 355 to 896 of the family's 1533-position model. The record is from RNAcentral.